Molecule: ribosomal RNA, 254 nt
Filed under: uncultured bacterium
Lineage: Bacteria
Description: partial 16S ribosomal RNA
Rfam family: Bacterial small subunit ribosomal RNA
Source: RNAcentral
UACGUAGGGGCCUAGCGUUGUCCGGAAUUAUUGGGCGUAAAGAGCUCGUAGGCGGUUUGUCGCGUCUGCCGUGAAAGUCCGGGGCUCAACUCCGGAUCUGCGGUGGGUACGGGCAGACUAGAGUGAUGUAGGGGAGACUGGAAUUCCUGGUGUAGCGGUGAAAUGCGCAGAUAUCAGGAGGAACACCGGUGGCGAAGGCGGGUCUCUGGGCAACAACUGACGCUGAGGAGCGAAAGCCGUGGGGAGCGAACAGG